This 328-nucleotide ribosomal RNA is filed under the name uncultured bacterium. RNAcentral describes it as "partial 16S ribosomal RNA". It matches the Rfam family "Bacterial small subunit ribosomal RNA", at positions 1 to 223 of the family's 1533-position model. The record is from RNAcentral.
CGACNUUUUGCUGCACUCGGAAAUGCAUCUAAGAUGANUUAUUGAUCAUGGCUCAAGAUUGACGCUGGCGUAAGGCCUAACACAUGCAAGUCGAGCGGAUGAUGGGAGCUUGCUCCCGGAUUCAGCGGCGGACGGGUGAGUAAUGCCUAGCGAAUCUGCCUGGUAGUGGGGGACAACGUUUCAGAAAGGAACGCUAAUACCGCAUACGAUCCUACUAGGAAGAAAAACAAGGGGACCUUUCCGNGGCCAUUNCGCAUAUUCCAAAUUAAAGCCCAUANAAGGUUCCAGGAAUUUAACAAAAGGAGAGGGCUAAACAGGGCACUAACCA